Molecule: long non-coding RNA, 3163 nt
Filed under: Actinidia chinensis (golden kiwifruit)
Lineage: Eukaryota; Viridiplantae; Streptophyta; Magnoliopsida; Ericales; Actinidiaceae
Description: long non-coding RNA (ACHI_LNC001471)
Source: RNAcentral
CGUGGAGAUAUGUAUUUGAGAGUACUUGGUAAUAGCAUCAGUUCUCGCACAACACAAUAAAUGCAAAACAGUCACUACUCAUUACUCAAAAAUUCAAAUCAGCAUAACUUGAAAUAAACAAAGUUCAACAUAAAGCAUUGUCAAAUAAUACCUAAAUAAUUUGUGGUUGAAGUUUAGCCCGAUAGUCAAUGUCAUUAGUCCUCGCAAAACAAAACAAAUGCAAAACAGUCACUACUUAUUACACAAAUAUUCAAAUCAGCAUAACUUGAAAUAGAGAAAAUACAAUAUAAGGCGUUGUCUAACAUAACCUAAUUAACUUGAGUUUGAAAUUGAACCCGGGAAAUUUCAAGCUCAAGUUAAUUAUUGUCCAAAAUAAUAUGCAAUUUCAAAUGUUUGUUACGUACCUCAUAUUUAAGUGCGUGGAGAAUAGUAUUUGAUAGUACGGUAAUAGCAUCAGUUCUCGCACAACACAAUAAAUGCAAAACAGUCACUACUCAUUACUCAAAAAUUCAAAUCAGCAUAACUUGAAAUAAACAAAGUACAACAUAAAGCAUUGUCAAAUAAUACCUAAAUAAUCUGAGGUUGAAGUUAAUCCCCAUAGUCAAUGUCAUUAGUCCUCGCAAAACAAAACAAAUGUAAAACAGUCACUACUUAUUACACAAAUAUUCAAAUCAGCAUAACUUGAAAUAGAGAAAAUACAAUAUAAGGCGUUGUCUAACAUAACCUAAUUAACUUGAGUUUGAAAUUGAACCCGGAAAAUUUCAAGCUCAAGUUAAUUAGUGUCCAAAAUAAAUAUACAAUUUCAAAUGUUUGUUACGUACCUCAAUAUUUAAAGGCGUGGAGAUAUGUAUUUGAGAGUAAUUGGUAAUACCAUCAGUUCUCGCACAACACAAUACUGCCAAACAUCACUUCUCAUUCCUCAAAAAAUUCAAAUAAUCAGCAUAACUUUAAUAACAAAGUACAACAUAAAGCCUUGUCAACUAAUACCUAAAUAAUUAGUGGUUACGUUUAGCCCGAUAGUCAAUGUCAUUAUCCUUGCCAACAAACAAUGAAAAACAGUCACUACUUAUUACACAAAUAUUCAAAUCAAAAGCCUAACUGAAAUAUAGAUAAUACCAAUAUCAGGCGUUGUCUAACAAACCUAAUUAAUUGAGUUUUAAAUUGAACCCGAAAAUUUCAAGCUCAAGUUAAUUAUUGUCCAAACUAAAUAUACAAUUUCACUGUUUGUUAGUACCUCAUAUUUACAGGCGUGGAGUUAUGUAUUUUGAGAGUACUUGAUAAUAGCAUCAGUUCUCGCACCACACAAUAAAUGCAAAGACAGUCACUACCACUACUCAUUACUCAAAAUUCAAAUCAGCAUACCUGAAAUAAACAAAGUACACAUAGCAUUGUCAAAUAAUAUCUCAAUAUCUGAGCUUGAAAGUACACCCCGAUAGUCAAUGUCAUUGUUUCUCGCAAAACAAACCAAUGAAAAACAGUCAGGACUUAUUACACAAAUAUCAAUCACCUACUUGAAAUAGAGAAACUACAAUAUAAGGCUUUGUCUAACAUAACCUAUUAACUUGGUGUUGAAAUGAACCUCGAAAGAUUUCAGCUCAGUUAAUGUAAGUGUCUAAAAUAAAUAUCAAUUUGAAAUGUUUGCUAGACCUCAAUAUUUAAAGGCGUGAGAUAUGUUUUGAGAGUAAUUGGUAAACCAUACAUUUCUCCGCACACACAAUACAUGGCAAAACAGUCACUACUAUUACUGCAAAAUUCAAAUCAGCAUAACUUGAAAUAAACAAAGUACCAUAUCAUUUUCAAAUAUACCUAAAAUAAUUAGUGGGUUUGAAGUUUAGAGCCCGAUAGUCAUAUGUCAUUAGUCCUGUGGCAAAACAAAACACUGAAAAACAGUCACUACUUAUUACACAAAUAAUUCCAAUCACAUACUUGAAAUAAAGAUAAUACAAUAUAAGUCGUUUGUCUAACAUAACCGAAUUAACUUAGUUUGAAAUUGAACCCGAGCAACUUUCACAAGCUCUAGUUUAAUUUAUUGUCCAAAAUAAAUUACAAUUUCAAAUGUUUGUUACGGCGUACCUCAAUAUUUAAAGGCGUGGAGAUAUGUAUUUGAGAGUACUUGUAAUAGCAUCAGUUCUCGCACACACAAUAAAUGCAAACUUCACUACUCAUUUACUCAAAUGUCAAAUCAGCCUAACUUGAAAUAACAAAGUACAAACAUAAAGCAUUGUUUCAAUAAUAGCUAAUAAUCUGAGGUUGAAGUAACCCGGAUCAAUGUCCCAUUAGUCCUCUCAAACAAAACCAUGAAAAACAUUCCUACUUAUUAAUCACAAUUUCAAUCAGCAUAACUUGAAAUAGAGACAUACCAUAUAAGGCGUUGUCUAACAUAACCUAAGUAACGUGACUUGAAAUUGAACACUGGAAAUUUCAGCUCAAGUAAUUAUUGUCCAAAAUAGAUAUAACAAUUUCAAAAUGUUUUUUUACGUACCUCAAUUUUUAAAGGCUUGAGAUAUGUAUUUGAGAUUACUCUUGGUAAUAGCAGAGUUCUCGCACAACACAAUAAAUGCAAACAGUCACUACCCAUUACUCAAAAAUUUCAAAUCGCAUAACUUGAAAUAAACAAAAGUUCAACAUAAAGCAGUUGUCAAAUAAUACUAAAUACUUGUGGUUUAAGUUUAGUUAGCCCAUAGUCAAUGUCAUUAGUCCUCGCCAAACAAAACAAAGCAAAACAGUCACUACUUGUAUUACACAAAGAUUCAAAUCGCAUAACUUGAAAUAGAGAGAAAAUCUAAAUAUAAGGCGUUGUCUAACAAACUAAUUAACUGGUUUGGAAAUUGAACCCGAGAAAUUUCAAGCUCAAGUUGAAACCGAGAAAAAAUUUUCAGCCAAGGUUAAUUAUUGUCCAAAAUAAAAUAAAUAACAAUUUCAAUGGUUGUGUUACGUACCUCCAUAUUUAAAGGCGUUUGGAGAUAUGUAUUUGAUUAGUACUUGGUAAUAGCAUCCGUUCCGCACAACACCAAUUAAAUGCAAAACAGUCACUCCUUCAUUACUCAAAAAUCAAAUCAGCAUCAACUUGGAAAAUAAACAAAGUUCAACAUAAAGAAUUGUCAAUAUAAUACCUAAAUAAUUUGUGGUGAAGUUAAUCCCCAUAGGUCAAUGUCAUUAGUCC